UAGACUGUCUCUCUAGGAAAACUUUGCUCUAACUUCUCUCUAAAAUAUAUACAGCAAUGGUAACUAUGCAAACAAAGGAACCUCGUCCCCCCGAUCCACCUACUGCAUCCAAAGAAAACCUAGCAGCAACCCAAUCUCUACCACAACCCACCACCCACCACCCCACCUCAGCAAACAGUCACUGGACACCCACCACUCACAGCCCUCUUCUUUCGAUCUCUACCGGAGAACCCAAUACCAAAACACAACUCCCUCAAAAUCAACCCUAAGUAUCCUCCUUUGAUAGGCAAAUACAAAAAUCAGAUUUAAAAAAAAAAGAAACCAUAGUCUAUCAACAACAUGAAGAGUUCUGUCAAAACAUUGAGCACAAAAGAGAUACCACCCAAAUUCAAGACAGUUAUGACACACAAAUGAAGGCUACAAUUCAGGAUGGGAAACAAGGAAUUCCAUUGUGUAAUAGAGGAAAUGAACAGUCGGUUUCUACACCAACGUUCGCAGCAAAGGUUCAAGCCAAGUUAUUCAACGUCAAUGACAAAACACAGCAAGUUAGUAUUCGGCGUGGAACUCAUUUAGGUUCUGAUCAUUCCUCUUUGUUCAUUACGACAUCCAAUCAUACAACGGAUCAUAUCAAAGUGUUGUUGAAUGUGCCUGGAACAUUGAAGUAAUUGGUACACCCUUAUGGAAAUUUCAUCUCAAGCUUAAGAAUGUUUCUAAAGCCUUAUCUGAUUGGUCAAGAAACGCGGUUGGGAACAUUUUCAAUACUAUUAAAGCUUUAGAAAAAAGAGUGGCAAAUAUGGAGGCUAAGUCAAUCAUUGAUAAUUUCGAAUUUAACAGAACAACUCUUAAUUAUGCCAAUGCUGAGCUUGUUCUUGCUUACAAAAAAGAAGAAUCCUUCGGGAGACAAAAAUCCGGCAUAAAGUGGUUUGUAGAAGGUGAAGUCAAUUCCAUGUUCUUUCACCCUAUGGUUAAAGGCAAAAAAAGACGACUUAACCUGACUACUAUUAAAGAUGAUCAAGGUAAGUGGAUAGUCCGAGAAGACAAUAUUGUUGAAGAGGCCAUAAAAUUCUUUAAACAACAAUUCUCUAAAAAAGACACUGUCAAGAAUAGUAAAAUCAUGGAGUGUAUUCCAAAGUUGAUCACUGAGGAAGAUAACAUCAAUCUGAUUUCUCCUACUUCAUUGGAUGAAUUGAAAGACAUCGUAUUUUCCAUGAGCACUCAAAGUGCACCAGGACCAGACGGAGUCUCAGGUAAGUUUUACCAUUCUUGUUGGAAUAUUAUUACACAUGAUUUGCUCAUGAUGGUACUUGAUUUCUUUGUUGGUACCCCUCUUCCUCGAUCUCUUAGUCACUCUUGUCUAGUUUUAAUUCCUAAGGUUAAAACCCAUCAACAGUUCACUGAUCGUAGACCGAUUAGCCUUAGUAAUUUUUCUAGCAAGAUUAUCUCUAAAUUGCUUAAUCAAAGAUUGUCCCCCCAUAUGAAUAAAAUUAUCUCUCCUUAUCAUACAUGUUUUAUUAAAGGUAGGUCUAUCUCCGACAACAUCUUAUUAACUCAAGAAUUGGUUUAUAAUAUUAAUCAGUCUCCUAAUUUAGGCAAUUUGGUUAUAAAAUUUUAUUAUGACCAAGGCCUACGAUAGAGUAAAUUGGGAUUUUCUGUCUUAUGCUAAGAAAAAUGGGCUUCUCUGACAUUUGGAUUGAUAGAAUUUGGAGACUCCUUUCUAACAAUUGGUAUUCUAUAAAUCUCAAUGAUGGAAGACAUGGCUUUUUCAAAUCUAGUCGUGGAUUAAAACAAGGUGAUCCCUUUUCCCCAUCUCUUUUUGUUAUCUGUGCUGAGUUGUUAUCUAGAUUGUUAACCAUUCUCCCUAAUGAUGGCUUUAUUCCUUACUCUGCGCAUAAAAAAGACCUUUGAUUACCCAUCUUUGUUAUGUCGAUGAUACCAUUCUUUUUUCUUCUGGAGACCAACCAUCUUUUAAUAUGAUGAUGAACAGGCUCAACAUGUACGAAAAAGUAUCUGGUCAGCUUAUUAAUAAAAAUAAAUCUGGUUUUCUUUUAUUGGCUAAUUUUCCUCUUGAUUAUAUUCAUGAUGUGGAGAAUGUCACGGGGUUCUCUCAAUUAAAAUUUCCUUUUCAAUAUUUGGGGUGCCCCAUUUACAGAAGAAAGAAAAAAAUUGUUUACUUCAACAACAUGGUUGCAAAAGUUUCUCACAAGCUUCAAGGAUGGCUAGGUAAUUUUCUAUCUUAGGUGGCAAAGCUACCCUUAUCAAGUCUAUUUUAUAUUCCCUUCCUCUCCACCUACUGUCGGUUUUAUAUCCUCCUAAAGGUGUCUUAAAUCAAAUUGAGAAGAUCUUUAAUAAUUUUUUGGGGGGCUUUGAGCAUAAUAAGAAACAACAUCAUUGAAAAGCUUGGCAUGAUCUUUGUUACCCUAAUGUAGAAGGUGGUGUUGAUUUCAGGUCAUUAAGAGAUUUUUGUAACAUCUUUUCUGCAAAGAUUUGGUGAAAUUUCAGAACUAAACAUAGUCUCUUAAGACAUUUUCUUCAGGCUAAAUAUUGCAAGAGAAAACAUCCGGUCAUGAGAAAAUGGUCUUAUAGCCAAUCUCAAAAUUGGAACUUAUGGAUGUGAAAAUUCAGGCUGAACAAUCCAUCUUGUGAAAGAUCGCAAAAGGUAAUGUUUACUUUUGGUGGGAUAACUGGACAGGUAAAGGAGCCUUGGCUAAACUCAUUAAUUUUGAUAACGCUCCUAGAAGCAUCAAAGUGAAUGAUUUUUUUUACUAAUACAGGUUGGAAUAUUUCUAGCCUUAAUGAUGAACACCCUAGCAACAUCACUAGUGAUAUUAAGGAUAUACAAAUUCAUCCUAAUAAGAAUUAUUGGCCUAUUUGGACUGUUGAGUCUACAGGUGUUUUUUCUUGUAAAAGUACAUGGCAUUUUAUGAGAGCUCACAAGGCUCAUUCUUUCACCUCUUCUAUCAUUUGGCACAAUAAAAUUCUGCUCAAGAUUUCAUUCUUUAUGCUUAGAAUGAUGGAAAAUAAAAUUCCUACAAAUAUGGCUCUAAGAAAACUAAAAUUCCUAUCUCGUCUAUGUGUUCUUGCUGCAAUAUUCAUGUAGAGGAAACUACUAUGCAUUUCUUUGGUAGGAGUGAAACUGCUACUCAAGUUUGGUCUUAUUUUUUUUUGAGUUGUGGCAUCCCUCUUCAAUUUUGCAACAUUAGACAAAUUGUCAUGUCUUGGUGGCUUUCUAAAACUAAGAAUAAGAUUCACAAAGCUUUUAUACAAUGUUUGCCUGCUAUAAUUAGUUGGUAAAUUUGGAAAAACAAAUGUAGUGCUAAAUUUGAUAAUACUAAGAUGUCGGCUACUAUAUUAUUAAAUAGGUCAUCAAAACAAUGCAUAUGCUUAUCAACAGUCUUUUUCCCAUCUUUAGCACUUAUCUUGAAUGGCGCAAACUCUGUAGUAAUAUUGAAACAACUAAGCAGGUGAUCAAGAUCAAGAUAGUUCUACGGAAGAAACCAGAUAGUGGUUCGCAUAAACUCAACACAGAUGCUUACAACAAAGGUAAUCCAGGUGGUGCUGGAGGAGGUGGAAUCAUUAGAAACAGUGAUAUGGAAGUUUCAAGCUUGCAUAUACAUAAAAUUACGGAGUGUGUAGCAAUAAUGUAGCUGAAGUAAGUGUUAUUCUUCGAGGUGUAAAAAUAUGCUCUAUAAUGGGUCUCAUAAACGUGAUUGUGAAAGUUGACUCCCAACUCAUUAUCAACAUGAUUAAUCACAAAAUGAAGAGUUUUUGGGAGAUUUUCAUGUUAUUGAUCAGAUCAACCAACUCUGCAGUGGAAAAAACUUUCUUUUGUGCAUUCCUACAGAGAGGACAGUAUAAUAGCCGAUCACUUGGCAAAUUUGGGAGAAUAUACUAAUGAGAAUCUCAUAAUAGAAAACCUUAGUUUGCUCCCUCCAUCUAUCAGAGCUUUUUUGAGUUUGGAUCAACAAGAAAUUCUUAACUUCAGGUUUAAACAAAGAAAUAAUCAUUUUGUGAAUAAUGAUGUUGUCCUUGGAUAGUUAUGUAUAGUUUACCUCUUCUUUUUCUUGUUCUGGAGGCUAUGGUCUAUGUCCUCCUCCAUGUACUCAUUUUCUUCUUUAAUUUAUAGGUUGGGGUCAAUGUCUAAACCCCCAAGUUAAAUUGUUUUUUUUAAAAAAAAAAUCGCACAUUGGUGGAUCUUUUAAUUCUCUAAUUGUUAUGAUUGUAUUUUUUAUUUCUUAAGUCUUAAAUUGAGAAUUUAUGA
Solanum lycopersicum (tomato) is the source of this 4258-nucleotide non-coding RNA. The record is from RefSeq and is a predicted model, not a curated record. NCBI's taxonomy places the organism in Eukaryota, Viridiplantae, Streptophyta, Magnoliopsida, Solanales, Solanaceae.